RNAcentral lists this long non-coding RNA (1735 nucleotides) under Brassica napus (rape). RNAcentral's name for it is "long non-coding RNA (BNAP_LNC026870)". Lineage: Eukaryota; Viridiplantae; Streptophyta; Magnoliopsida; Brassicales; Brassicaceae. The record is from RNAcentral.
UCAGCGUUCUACAGUGAUUUUAUUAAAGAAACAUACUUUUAUUUAUUUUGCAAAGUCAGAAACUCGACUAAGGUCCUCAAAUACAACAACAAAGAGAAAAUAACGAGUCAAACGGGUACCCAUGAAAAUAAAAACGAGUGAAAACAUAAACAUCUUUCUCCUUGUCAUCCUCCACACCCCGCAAACGCCCGACCCUCUACGGUUACCUGCAAAGAAAAGGGGGGGGGGGAAUGAGCAAUCAUAGAUUACUCAGUGAGUUCCCAAACACACAACAACAACGACCCCUCACCUCUGCUCAAACACAAGCAAUAAACAGAAUGAAACGCGGAAGAGUAAACGUGAAACAACUUAAAGCAAUGCAAUAACUUAAACAUGAAUGCAAUGCAAUGACUUAAACAUGAAUGUAAUGCAAUGACUCUACUCCCUAGUCUCAUCCCGAGACCUAAAUACAAACUCCACGACAAUCUAAACUCAAUCCUAGACUCGACUCCACCAAAAACAAAACACUUGAAGGACGGAGCCUCAUGCUACACAUCCCGGGAUCCCUUCACACCACGGAGUGCUAUCUCUCCACCCUGAACACUCCCGACCACAAACACCAAAGUCACAUGUCCGGAAAAUAGCACUUCGGGAAUUGGGCUUCUCCCAAUCUAACCCGGGCCGCAUCGUCAUGCAGCGCUUGUCCAUGGGUGCGACCCACUUCACGUGACAAGCCGUGGAGAGUAGGUCACUCCACCACUGGAGAAUUAGGCUUCUCCCAAUCUAACUCCGAGACGGCCACACACUCACAAGCGCUAGUCUAGAUGCAACACAACACAACUAGCAUGAGGGAGCUCCACCUCUAACCUCCAUGUGACGCGCAUCUAGACUGAAUGCAAGACACAAACACACACUCGCACUAGUUAGACUAAAACACACAACACAACUAGCAUGAGGAAGCUCCACUUCUAACCUCCAUGCAACACUUGGUCUAGACUCAAAAUAAAACGACUCAAGUGAGCGACACACUAAACAACUACCCGACAUAAGAGAGAGUCUCACUCAAAUCUCUAUGCAACCCCAACUACACUACAUGCAAUACAUAUGAACCGGCAUGAGAGAGUUCCACUCAAAUCUACAUGCUACACAACUCCAAAACAUAUGCAACUACAAAACUAACAAUGCAUGCAUGUAAUCUAACCACUUAACAACACAAUGCAUAUCAAUCAUGGCAUCACCCCUAGAUGACCAUGUUCACAACAAUAAGACAUGAUAUGCCUACUCAUAACUAUAUUAUGAAAUAUAAUUAAACACUCAAGUAUGGGGUUUACCAACUCCCAUACACACACACAUAAACCGCAAAGGCGAUUCAAGCUCAAGAACCCUCACGUUUGAAGCCCUCCAACCUGCACACACACAUGGUUAGCAACAUAUAACACUUACACACAUACACACAAAGGGAACCCAUAUAGGUCUUCACAAGCCGCACAAAACCUCCAAAAGCAAAAGAUCUAAGGUUCACGCUAAAACCGAUCAAAAAGAGACUUAAGGAUAAAAGAGGAAAGGAACUUACAAACUCAAAAUCUAAGGUCUUACCACCCUUCCAAGCACAGCACAACAUACCCUAGGACAAGGAUCAACACACGGAAAGGCCUCCUAUACUCUUCUCACACGCUCAUAAAAUUUUAUCUGUUUUAGAAAUUUUCUCUCUCAAGAACAAACCAUAAGACCGACUGAGAGAGAAGGCACAGCUGGU